RNAcentral lists this ribosomal RNA (376 nucleotides) under uncultured bacterium. Its description in RNAcentral is "bacterial SSU rRNA". It matches the Rfam family "Bacterial small subunit ribosomal RNA", at positions 523 to 898 of the family's 1533-position model. The record is from RNAcentral.
AUACGUAGGGAGCGAGCGUUGUCCGGAUUUACUGGGUGUAAAGCGCACGCAGGCGGUCUGUCAAGUCGGAUGUGAAAUCCCCGGGCUCAACCUGGGAACUGCAUUCGAAACUGGCAGGCUAGAGUCUUGUAGAGGGGGGUAGAAUUCCAGGUGUAGCGGUGAAAUGCGUAGAGAUCUGGAGGAAUACCGGUGGCGAAGGCGGCCCCCUGGACAAAGACUGACGCUCAGGUGCGAAAGCGUGGGGAGCAAACAGGAUUAGAUACCCUGGUAGUCCACGCCGUAAACGAUGUCGACUUGGAGGUUGUGCCCUUGAGGCGUGGCUUCCGGAGCUAACGCGUUAAGUCGACCGCCUGGGGAGUACGGCCGCAAGGUUAAA